This 467-nucleotide ribosomal RNA is filed under the name Streptococcus mutans. Its description in RNAcentral is "bacterial SSU rRNA". It matches the Rfam family "Bacterial small subunit ribosomal RNA", at positions 28 to 471 of the family's 1533-position model. The record is from RNAcentral. Lineage: Bacteria; Bacillati; Bacillota; Bacilli; Lactobacillales; Streptococcaceae.
GACGAACGCUGGCGGCGUGCCUAAUACAUGCAAGUGGGACGCAAGGGAACACACUGUGCUUGCACACCGUGUUUUCUUGAGUCGCGAACGGGUGAGUAACGCGUAGGUAACCUGCCUAUUAGCGGGGGAUAACUAUUGGAAGCGAUAGCUAAUACCGCAUAAUAUUAAUUAUUGCAUGAUAAUUGAUUGAAAGAUGCAAGCGCAUCACUAGUAGAUGGACCUGCGUUGUAUUAGCUAGUUGGUAAGGUAAGAGCUUACCAAGGCGACGAUACAUAGCCGACCUGAGAGGGUGAUCGGCCACACUGGGACUGAGACACGGCCCAGACUCCUACGGGAGGCAGCAGUAGGGAAUCUUCGGCAAUGGGGGGAACCCUGACCGAGCAACGCCGCGUGAGUGAAGAAGGUUUUCGGAUCGUAAAGCUCUGUUGUAAGUCAAGAACGUGUGUGAGAGUGGAAAGUUCACACAG